GAUGAACGCUGGCGGCGUGCCUAAUACAUGCGAGUCGAGCGAACAGACGAGGAGCUUGCUCCUCUGACGUUAGCGGCGGACGGGUGAGUAACACGUGGAUAACCUACCUAUAAGACUGGGAUAACUUCGGGAAGCCGGAGCUAAUACCGGAUAAUAUAUUGAACCGCAUGGUUCAAUAGUGAAAGACGGUUUUGCUGUCACUUAUAGAUGGAUCCGCGCCGCAUUAGCUAGUUGGUAAGGUAACGGCUUACCAAGGCAACGAUGCGUAGCCGACCUGAGAGGGUGAUCGGCCACACUGGAACUGAGACACGGUCCAGACUCCUACGGGAGGCAGCAGUAGGGAAUCUUCCGCAAUGGGCGAAAGCCUGACGGAGCAACGCCGCGUGAGUGAUGAAGGUCUUCGGAUCGUAAAACUCUGUUAUUAGGGAAGAACAAAUGUGUAAGUAACUAUGCACGUCUUGACGGUACCUAAUCAGAGAGCCACGGCUAACUACGUG
RNAcentral lists this ribosomal RNA (497 nucleotides) under uncultured bacterium. Its description in RNAcentral is "partial 16S ribosomal RNA". It matches the Rfam family "Bacterial small subunit ribosomal RNA", at positions 28 to 507 of the family's 1533-position model. The record is from RNAcentral.